Molecule: long non-coding RNA, 976 nt
Filed under: Pogona vitticeps (central bearded dragon)
Lineage: Eukaryota; Metazoa; Chordata; Lepidosauria; Squamata; Agamidae
Description: lncRNA (ENSPVIG00000016253.1)
Source: RNAcentral
AUAAACUUGAACAUAAGGACAUUACUUUUAUUUUAAAUUUUCUUUCCACGCAUAACAUUCCAGGGUCCUUCCCAGCCUUUGGGCAAAAUCUACCAGAGAAGAGAGGAAAUUCUUUACACCUAACAUGCAUUUAGAAAAGAAAAAACAAAGAAAAAAAGAAAAAGAAGAACUGAUUUCUGUGCAAAACUAAGCCCUCACCUGAGCCUGAAUUUGUACCACUAAGAGAGCACAUUCAUUCUGUCCACCAAACAAGUACAGGUAGAAAUUCCUCUCACCUGGGAGGCUGGUGACUUGUUUUUUCAGAAACGACAUAGACAGCAUCAAAAGAUCUACCUCAGGAACUUUGGAAGCUGUAAAACACCAAACCUGCACACUUCUAAAUGUAACUAAAAAGUAACUGGGCAAAUGUUCAGUGCCACCCACUUUUCUCCUAGUCUUGGACAAAGCUCUAAAGCUGAAAUUUGGAUGCAAGCCUCACUCCUGUAUUUCAACAUCCUGGCACCUGUAAGAAACCAGAUAUUGCAUCCACAUUAAGGUUGACUAUGAUUCAUGUUGUUCAUAAGAGUAAGUACAUAAUUUGAACUUUUUAAUUACAGAAUACAUUUGGAAGUAGAUUGUUUCUUUAAAAAGAUACCUAAUAUAUCCAAUAACAAAAUUGUCAGAUUUUCAUAUUUCUUUCUCUCUCUCACACACACACACACACAUUCUCACACACACACACACACACACACACAGAGAGAGAGAGAGAGAGAGAGAAUUCAUUUUUAAAAAUGUAGCCAGCAAGUUCAUUUUUAGAAUACAUAACAAAAAACUGCAUUGGUUAUUUUUUUAAUUUGGAGAAGUUAAUAUUCUUGCCAGCCCAUCAGCAUUUUUUACUAAGAAACUUUUAGCAAAGGCUUACACACCAUUAAUCAAAAGACAAGGAGCAAAAGCUUUGGAGAUUAAAAUAAAUUAAAAAGGCCCAAAUUUACGUUCA